Molecule: ribosomal RNA, 1006 nt
Filed under: Salmonella enterica subsp. enterica serovar Kottbus
Lineage: Bacteria; Pseudomonadati; Pseudomonadota; Gammaproteobacteria; Enterobacterales; Enterobacteriaceae
Description: partial 23S ribosomal RNA
Rfam family: Bacterial large subunit ribosomal RNA
Source: RNAcentral
ACACAAAAGCGCAUGUGCUGUGAGCUCGAUGAGUAGGGCGGGACACGUGGUAUCCUGUCUGAAUAUGGGGGGACCAUCCUCCAAGGCUAAAUACUCCUGACUGACCGAUAGUGAACCAGUACCGUGAGGGAAAGGCGAAAAGAACCCCGGCGAGGGGAGUGAAAAAGAACCUGAAACCGUGUACGUACAAGCAGUGGGAGCACCCUUUGGGGUGUGACUGCGUACCUUUUGUAUAAUGGGUCAGCGACUUAUAUUCUGUAGCAAGGUUAACCGUAUAGGGGAGCCGUAGGGAAACCGAGUCUUAACCGGGCGUUAAGUUGCAGGGUAUAGACCCGAAACCCGGUGAUCUAGCCAUGGGCAGGUUGAAGGUUGGGUAACACUAACUGGAGGACCGAACCGACUAAUGUUGAAAAAUUAGCGGAUGACCUGUGGCUGGGGGUGAAAGGCCAAUCAAACCGGGAGAUAGCUGGUUCUCCCCGAAAGCUAUUUAGGUAGCGCCUCGUGAAUUCAUCUCCGGGGGUAGAGCACUGUUUCGGCUAGGGGGCCAUCCCGGCUUACCAACCCGAUGCAAACUGCGAAUACCGGAGAAUGUUAUCACGGGAGACACACGGCGGGUGCUAACGUCCGUCGUGAAGAGGGAAACAACCCAGACCGCCAGCUAAGGUCCCAAAGUCAUGGUUAAGUGGGAAACGAUGUGGGAAGGCCCAGACAGCCAGGAUGUUGGCUUAGAAGCAGCCAUCAUUUAAAGAAAGCGUAAUAGCUCACUGGUCGAGUCGGCCUGCGCGGAAGAUGUAACGGGGCUAAACCAUGCACCGAAGCUGCGGCAGCGAACGUAUCACUUAAAGCGAUUCAGCGGGUUACGAUUGACGGAGCGAAGCGACGUCAAAGCGUAUACAAAGUCGAGUCGGUUUAAGGAUACGUUCGUUGGGUAGGGGAGCGUUCUGUAAGCCUGUGAAGGUGGCCUGUGAGGGUUGCUGGAGGUAUCAGAAGUGCGAAUGCUGACAUA